RNAcentral lists this long non-coding RNA (3205 nucleotides) under Rosa chinensis. Its description in RNAcentral is "sRNA RchiOBHm_Chr4g0392161". The record is from RNAcentral. Lineage: Eukaryota; Viridiplantae; Streptophyta; Magnoliopsida; Rosales; Rosaceae.
UAGUUAAUUGUUAGAACUCCAACUAUAUUUGUAGACUUGAGCUUAAACCACUUCCUAUAGUACCAUUUCAGACAGACACAAAUCACCUUGUCGAUUGAGGAGAGGCCAAGUGGCAUUAUCAAAGGAGGAAAAGGACUUCGUUAGAGGAGUUGAUUUCCCUGAACGGGUGGUGUGGAGAUAGGAAGAUGGGACGGGUGUGAAAAAAUAGAGUCAAAUUACAUUAGAGUCUUGGUGCCAACUAAUUAUACAUAUACUAAAUGUGAGUUCAGGUUACUAUUUUCAAUUGUUCAUCCGCGUUGAGAAAUGACCCAGCUGUCCUUGGGUUUGGGUUUGAAUCACAAAAUUGCUGCAGGUGUUUUUGGAGAGUCAGAAAAGUGCUGUGGGGGGUUUUUGGGGAGAGUGCGUAUUAAAACUGAGUUGAGGUGGUGAGUUGAGAUCGGGGAGGGAAAUGACGUAGCUGUCCCUGCUUUUAUUGACGUAGGUGUUCGGUAUGUGGGUGAAAAUGUGAAAUCCCUAAUGUUGUUUAAUAUAUCAACUACGAAAUGGUUUGGUUUUUGUGUUUUUUUUUUUGUCGAGAAUCCAGAAUCAUCGAGAGAGAGGGAGGGAGGGAGAGCGCUUCAGACUGAAAGUGUGCUAGAACGAUUUAGAGAUAGAGAGAGAGAUCUGAUCCCUCAUCGUUGCAGGCAGAAAGAGAGAGUGAUUUGCGUUUUGAUUGGUCCAGUUUGUGACGAGAAGAUUGGGUUGAACACAAGUGGAACAGAUAGAGGUUCUAGGCGGUUGGUUGGGUUGAUUGGGGAAAAUGGUGGAGCUGCAGACGCCAAAAAUCUACGGGUGGAGCUAUACUUGAACCAUUGAAUCAACUUUUGUCAUCAGAGUUGACCAACUUGAUUUACCUGAUCAUGUUGUUGUUGUUCACUGGGGAGUUUGCAAAGAUGAUGCUAAAAGAUGGGAAAUUCCAGCAGCCCCACAUCCGCCAGAAACAGUAGUUUUCAAGGAUAAGGCUUUGCGAACCCGAUUGCAGGAAAGGAAAAUUUCCCUCAAGUCUGCGUGACAACAUAUUAAGUUAUUACUGGGAAAGGAGUUCUGUACAUAUUUUUCUCCUUUGGUCAUGCAUAGCAAAAGGAGGGAGCAAAUGGACGUUGGGCAUUGUUUACUUGAGAAGAAGGAACUGCAGGAUUUCUUUUUGUUUUCAAGCUAAGUGAAAGUACAUGGUUGAAAUGUAAGGGCAAUGACUUCUACAUUCCCCUUUCAAGCGCAAAUAACUCACCUGCUGCAGCAAAGGAGGAUCAAUAUGAAGGUGCUGAUGUAGAUGAGGGAAGUGCAGAAGAAAUAGAUGAAAGUUCUUUUACUGAAUAUGCCAAUGGAAUAAUAAAUGAAAUAAGGAUCUUGGUGAGUGGCAUUUCCUCUGAGAAGAGUCGAAAGACAAAAUCCAAAGAAGCACAAGAAAGCAUUCUUCAAGAAAUAGAAAAAUUGGCUGCUGAAGCCUAUAGUAUCUUCAGAAGCACUGUUCCCACAUUUACUGAGGAAGCUAUUUCAGAAUCUGAAGAAUUAGCACUGAAAAUAACCUCAGGGACAGGCACGGGAUUUGAAAUAUUGUGCCAAGGUUUUAAUUGGGAAUCUCAUAAAUCUGGAAGAUGGUACAUGGAGCUCAAAGAUAAAGCUGCUGAAUUGUCUUCACUAGGUUUCACUGUGAUUUGGUUACCACCCCCUGCAGAUUCUGUGUCGCCUGAAGGGUACAUGCCGACGGAUUUGUAUAAUCUGAACUCCAGGUACCCUAAUACCCUAUGACAGAUUAGUUAGUGGUAUCUCAAUCAACUACUGUUAUUCAGACAGGGUGUGGCAUUGAAUUUUUCAACUGGUUGCAGUCCAGGUAUGGAUUUUCAAAGGAGAUAAUGGCAACAAAAACUGGAAGAACAAAGAUGAUGAGACUUUUACGAGAUGAUGAUGCAGAGGAUCAAGGUAGUCAAAGACAAGGAGAGAGAAUAUCUAAUUAUCAAGCUUUGGUUGCUGUUUUUGAUAUGGACACACGUCCUCAGAUUAUAUCAAAAAAGUGGAAACAAGGUCUCAGUUAUGCUCCAUUCGAGUCAUCGUCGCAGAAAUACUUGACGGACAAUGGGAGUGUCUUUAUGACCAAGAUAUCUGUUACUUUGAACAAUAGAAGAGAGGGUGUACUUUUUGAAUUUUAAAGAAAUGGAAGCCCGUAAGGAUGACAAGAAUCUAUCUCUCUCCCAAAGCUCAUUGACCCACACUUGCAUCAAUGGAUUCAAAACCUGUUGAUCAGUUUCAUUAAUUCAAGCAACAAAUUCAGAUGAGGUUUUACUUGCAUAUGAAAUGAAUGGAGAGGUGUUCUUCAAAGAUCGAUGAUGCCAUGAGCAAGAAGUGACGUCUCUUCUUCCUGUAUUUGUUGCCUCCUCAAGUGGGAAGGAGUUGGGAAAGUGGAAAUCCCCAUGAGGCUGUAGAUUUCUAGGGUUUGGCCAAAACCCAGUUUUUUGACUCAGGAUUUCAUGGGUUGAAAACAAGAGGGGAAGAGAGGGUUUGGAGGGAUUAAUUAGUAAAAAGGAAAGUGAUGGUGAAGAGGUCAAUGUUGAGGAGGUACAGUCAGAAGUGUACAGAACAGUUAUAAACACCUUUUGCAGAGUGUGGUUGUUGACCCAUCCACUGGAGUACAAGAAAGUCUACGGGUCAAAAUGAUUUCUCUCUUGAAUAUAUUCCUUAAAUAGUGCAAAACCAUGGUAUUAAUCAAGCAAAACAUGGUGAUACAUCAAGCUUCAACAAAGGAGAUUCUCAACGCAUGGUAGAUCAAGAGACUUUAGAUCAAAUCAGAUCUAAGCCAUCAAACAACCAAAGAAGUUUGUGCAGUAAUGGUGGCAAAUCUCUAGAAAAUUUGACGCUACUAUGAUAAGAUCAUUCUUUUAAGUUUGAGAGUAAGAAAAGACAUUAUGGUUAUGAUUUUCAUCCCGCAGCAAAGCGAGGGCACUGUUGCUAGUUUUGAACGAGGCCAAAAUUGGAAGGUGCAAAUAGAAGCUCUUGUGGCUUGUUCUUGCGCAUAAAACAUAAAAUUUUGGCACAAUGUACAUUUGGUUGUGAUUUGAAUAAGAUAAAUAUCUUGAUGGAGGCAGCAGUUUCAUUAAUAUCUUGAUGGAAUGUACUACCUCACAUAAUUUGUUCUGAAUAGAUUAACUCAUUUAUGCAAAAUUAGUUUAAU